This 119-nucleotide ribosomal RNA is filed under the name Mastacembelus armatus (zig-zag eel). Lineage: Eukaryota; Metazoa; Chordata; Actinopteri; Synbranchiformes; Mastacembelidae. The record is from RNAcentral.
ACUGGCAGCCAUACCAUCCUUUGAGUACAUGAUCCCAUCAGUUCUUGGAAGCUAAGCAGGGCUGGCCCUGGUUAAUACUUGGAUGGGAGACUGCCUUGGAAGACCAAGUACGGCUAGAC